Molecule: ribosomal RNA, 773 nt
Filed under: uncultured bacterium
Lineage: Bacteria
Description: bacterial SSU rRNA
Rfam family: Bacterial small subunit ribosomal RNA
Source: RNAcentral
GCCCUUAGAGUUUGAUCCUGGCUCAAGAUGACCUUUGGCGGCGUGCUUAACACGUGCAAGUCGAACGAAGCACUUAUCUUUGAUUCUUCGGAUGAAGAGGUUUGUGACUGAGUGGCGGACGGGUGAGUAACGCGUGGGUAACCUGCCUCAUACGGGGGGAUAACAGUUAGAAAUGACUGCUAAUACCGCAUAACACCACGGAGCCGCAUGGCUCAGUGGGAAAAACUCCGGUGGUAUGAGAUGGACCCGCGUCUGAUUAGGUAGUUGGUGGGGUAACGGCCUACCAAGCCAACGAUCAGUAGCCGACCUGAGAGGGUGACCGGCCACAUUGGGACUGAGACACGGCCCAAACUCCUACGGGAGGCAGCAGUGGGGAAUAUUGCACAAUGGGGGAAACCCUGAUGCAGCGACGCCGCGUGAGCGAAGAAGUAUUUCGGUAUGUAAAGCUCUAUCAGCAGGGAAGAAAAUGACGGUACCUGACUAAGAAGCACCGGCUAAAUACGUGCCAGCAGCCGCGGUAAUACGUAUGGUGCAAGCGUUAUCCGGAUUUACUGGGUGUAAAGGGAGCGUAGACGGCUGUGUAAGUCUGAAGUGAAAGCCCGGGGCUCAACCCCGGGACUGCUUUGGAAACUAUGCAGCUAGAGUGUCGGAGAGGUAAGUGGAAUUCCCAGUGUAGCGGUGAAAUGCGUAGAUAUUGGGAGGAACACCAGUGGCGAAGGCGGCUUACUGGACGAUGACUGACGUUGAGGCUCGAAAGCGUGGGGAGCAAACAG